This 524-nucleotide ribosomal RNA is filed under the name [Candida] sp. DR1-3. RNAcentral's name for it is "eukaryotic LSU rRNA". It matches the Rfam family "Eukaryotic large subunit ribosomal RNA", at positions 62 to 648 of the family's 3401-position model. The record is from RNAcentral. Lineage: Eukaryota; Fungi; Ascomycota; Saccharomycetes; Saccharomycetales.
AAACCAACCGGGAUUGCCUCAGUAACGGCGAGUGAAGCGGCAAGAGCUCAAAUUUGAAAUCGCUGUGGCGAGUUGUAAUUUGAAGGCGUUCUUUGGGUGGUGGCGCAGUCUAAGUCCCUUGGAACAGGGCGCCUUGGAGGGUGAGAGCCCCGUAAGGCUGUAUGCCAUUGUCUAUAUAAAGAGCUGCCAACGAGUCGAGUUGUUUGGGAAUGCAGCUCAAAGUGGGUGGUAAAUUCCAUCUAAAGCUAAAUAUUGGCGAGAGACCGAUAGCGAACAAGUACAGUGAUGGAAAGAUGAAAAGCACUUUGAAAAGAGAGUGAAACAGUACGUGAAAUUGUUGAAAGGGAAGGGCAUGCAAGCAGACACGGCUUUUUUGCCGGGCCAGCAUCGGUUUGUGCGGGACGGAUAAUAACGCAGGAAUGUACCUUCUAUUAUUAGCUGGAUUAUAGCCUGUGGAGAUGCGUCCACGCCAGACCGAGGCCUGCGAUCUGAUCUAGGAUGCUGGCGUAAUGGUUGCAUGCCGC